Molecule: small RNA, 44 nt
Filed under: Xanthomonas vasicola pv. musacearum NCPPB 4394
Lineage: Bacteria; Pseudomonadati; Pseudomonadota; Gammaproteobacteria; Lysobacterales; Lysobacteraceae
Description: Xanthomonas campestris pv. musacearum NCPPB 4394 sX9
Rfam family: Xanthomonas sRNA sX9
Source: RNAcentral
AUGUACCACUCGUACACUGCGGUUCCUGCGCGCCGUCCGCGCCC